UUAUCAUUUUAUUUCACCUUAUACUAAGAGAUUUGUACCGGGCACUGACACAGGUUGAACUCCUUUUGGAAAUUAAGAAACGGCAAAGUAGAAAAAAAGAGGAAAAAACGAAAAUAAAAGUAGAAAGUCGAGAGGACAACUGUUGACAUUAUACAAUGACGAGCUUGACAUGCCUUUGUAGUGUUAUUGUUUGUACACUGAUGGUGAAUGCUGUGAGCAGCUUGUCUUGCAUUCAAAGCAAUUCAUAUACGAAUGAAAGAUAUACUCCCAGUGACGGGACGCCAUGUACGAUUCCUGCCGCGGACAAGAAUACACCUCUGCAGUGUUUCACAAUCACCAAGGACGAUGGGUUAGCCUGGAGGGGUUGUGAUUCGAGCGGAGGAACCAUAUGCUUUCAUCAAGCGACCAUUUCUCACAAGUGCGAGCUGUGCGGGACGGACAACUGUAACUCUGGCUCCAUCAUCAACCUAACUAGAUGGAUGUUGAUAAUUCCAAUGUUGGCGUUGCUCCAUUAGAAACAAUUUUUUGUAAAGCUGCCAAGUGAUGUCCUCAAAUAUAUAUAUUUGAGGACAUGUAGGCCUUAUCAGUAAUGUGAGACCAUUUAUGGCAGUGAAAUUGCCAUCACGGCAUUGUCCUAUUAAGGAUGAUUACUGUAUAGUCUAGCUAGAGUUGUUCAAAUUUCUUUUAAAUACUAAUUUUGAGUAGGGAACUAAAAUCAAGUAUAUACCGACCUUUUAAACCAUUACUGAUCAUCAUCUAGUAUAGGAACAAUAAAGUGUUCUAGGA
This is a long non-coding RNA of Lineus longissimus, 786 nucleotides long. RefSeq lists it as uncharacterized. The transcript is spliced from 3 exons. Lineage: Eukaryota; Metazoa; Nemertea; Pilidiophora; Heteronemertea; Lineidae. The record is from RefSeq and is a predicted model, not a curated record.